GGCGGGGUAGCUCAGUUGGUUAGAGCAGCGGAAUCAUAAUCCGCGUGUCGGGGGUUCAAGUCCCUCCCUCGCUA
Molecule: non-coding RNA, 74 nt
Organism: Pseudovibrio sp. FO-BEG1
Lineage: Bacteria; Pseudomonadati; Pseudomonadota; Alphaproteobacteria; Hyphomicrobiales; Stappiaceae
Source: Rfam